RNAcentral lists this ribosomal RNA (425 nucleotides) under uncultured bacterium. RNAcentral describes it as "bacterial SSU rRNA". It matches the Rfam family "Bacterial small subunit ribosomal RNA", at positions 356 to 773 of the family's 1533-position model. The record is from RNAcentral.
AGGGAAUCUUCCGCAAUGGACGAAAGUCUGACGGAGCAACGCCGCGUGAGCGAUGAAGGCCUUCGGGUCGUAAAGCUCUGUUGUCAGGGAAGAACAAGUAUCGGAGUAACUGCCGGUACCUUGACGGUACCUGACCAGAAAGCCACGGCUAACUACGUGCCAGCAGCCGCGGUAAUACGUAGGUGGCAAGCGUUGUCCGGAAUUAUUGGGCGUAAAGCGCGCGCAGGCGGUCCUUUAAGUCUGAUGUGAAAGCCCACGGCUCAACCGUGGAGGGUCAUUGGAAACUGGGGGACUUGAGUGCAGAAGAGGAAAGCGGAUUUCCACGUGUAGCGGUGAAAUGCGUAGAGAUGUGGAGGAACACCAGUGGCGAAGGCGGCUUUCUGGUCUGUAACUGACGCUGAGGCGCGAAAGCGUGGGGAGCAAAC